This 443-nucleotide ribosomal RNA is filed under the name uncultured bacterium. Its description in RNAcentral is "partial 16S ribosomal RNA". It matches the Rfam family "Bacterial small subunit ribosomal RNA", at positions 338 to 795 of the family's 1533-position model. The record is from RNAcentral.
CCUACGGGUGGCAGCAGUGGGGAAUAUUGGGCAAUGGGCGCAAGCCUUACCCAGCAAUACCGCGUGAGUGAAGAAGGUCUUCGGAUUGUAAAGCUCUUUGAUCAGGGACGAACAGAUGACGGUACCUGAAGAACAAGCCACGGCUAACUACGUGUCAGCAGCCGCGGUAAAACGUAGGGGGCGAGCGUUGUCCGGAAUGACUGGGGGUAAAGGAUGCGUAGGCGGCAUAAUAAGUUAGAAGUGGAAUACCCAGGGCUUAACUCGGGUGCUGCUUCUAAGACUGUUGGACUUGAGUGCGGGAGGGGUAAAUGGAAUUCCUGGUGUAGCAGUGGAAUGCGUAGAUAUUAGGAGGAACACUAGAGGCGAAGGCGAUUUACUGGACAGUAACUGACGCUGAGGCACGAAGGUGAGGGUAGCGAAAGGGAUUAGAUACCCUAGUAGUC